Molecule: small nucleolar RNA, 50 nt
Filed under: Pyrobaculum islandicum DSM 4184
Lineage: Archaea; Thermoproteati; Thermoproteota; Thermoprotei; Thermoproteales; Thermoproteaceae
Description: PISsR16
Source: RNAcentral
GUGAUGAGAAUCAUGCCCAAAGGCAAAAUGCCUGAUCCUGGGGUAGCUGA